CAUCACUGUUCUAUGCAUUUUGAACUGCAUAUUAUGUGCGCUGCAAACUGCUAGCAAGGCCGCUGCUGAUUUUUGAAGGGUUAGCGAGUUUCUUGCAGCCGCCUCGGGGUGCAAUGAGGGGUGUUGGGAGGGGGCUACGUCAAGUUGGGUUGGGGGAGUUAGAUUUACUCGACACGCAGCGGAGGAUGUGAGGAGGAUUCCAACCCUGGCCCUGGCAGUCGUGGCCAGCCAGGCCUUCUAACCACUGCUCCACAAAGGCAUAUUAGAUCACAUGGGUGUUGAUGCUGGUAGGCUAACACUGUGAUACUCAUGCCAUACCUUCCCCAGGUACAGCUGUUCAUCAACCAUCUACACAGGAAGGAUGAACAGCUGUGUGAGGCCUUCUAGCCACUGCUCCAUAUUAGAUCACGUGGGUGUUGAUGCUGGUAGGCUAACACUGUGAUACUCAUGCCAUACCAUUCUUUCAUUGACACAGGCUUUACAUAAACGAGACAACACAGACAUUUGAAAAGACAUAGAGUAUGAUCUGACAAGCAUCCUCUUCUUUUCUUUUGAUCAUUCCUUUCCUCCUCUUCCUUCAUUCUUUCCUCUUCUGUGUCUUUCUCCUCCUCCUCCUCCUCCUCUUCUUUCUCCUCUCAUUUUCUUUCUUGUCCCAGAUCCUUUGUUAUCCUUCAUUAUUUCUUCCUCCUCCUCCUCCUCUUCUUUCUCCUCUCAUUUUCUUUCUUGUCCCAGGUCCUUCAUUAUUUCUUCCUCCUCCUCCUCCUCUUCUUUCUCCUCUCAUUUUCUUUCUUGUCCCAGGUCCUUCAUUAUUUCUUCCUCCUCCUCCUCCUCUUCUUUCUCCUCUCAUUUUCUUUCUUGUCCCAGAUCCUUCGUUAUCUUUCAUUAUUUUUUCCUCCUCCUCCUCCUCUUCUUUCUCCUCUCAUUUUCUUUCUUGUCCCAGAUCCUUCGUUAUCUUUCAUUAUUUUUUCCUCCUCCUCCUCCUCUUCUUUCUCCUCUCAUUUUCUUUCUUCCUCUUCCUCCUCCUCCUCCUCUUCUUUCUCCUCUCAUUUUCUUUCUUGUCCCAGAUCCUUCAUUAUCCUUCAUUAUUUUUUCCUCCUCCUCCUCCUCUUCUUUCUCCUCUCAUUUUCUUUCUUCCUCUUCCUCCUCCUCCUCCUCCUCAUUCAUUCCCUCGACCUCCAUAUUUCUCACUUCUGCCUCCUUCCUUCUCCUUUACCUCCUCCUCCUCCUCUUCUUCUCCUCCUCAUCUUCGUUCCUUCCGCUUCUUCACGAACCUCUCUCUGAGCCUGACACUAAAUCUUCUUCUUCCUCCUCCUCCUCCUCCCUAACCCCCCCCCCGGCUUCCUGCCGUUCAUAACAAUACCGGGAAUGAAUGAGAGGGAGGAGGAGGAGGAGGAGGAGGAGGAGGAAAAGGUGUGGAGGAAAAUGAAGAUGAAGUGGAGAGGAUGUGAAAGAAGGAGGAAGAGGAGGAGGAGGAGGAAAGAAAGAAGAAAAGGGAAACACAAGAAAUAAAAAAAGAAGGGAAAUAAAUAACACAAAACAUGAAGAAAACCAAAAAAAUAAAAGGAAGAAAAAGAAAAAAAAAUAGAAAAAAGAAAAGAAAAGAAAAAUAUAAUACGAAAAUCAGAGACGGCUACAAGGAAACGGGAUAAAGGGAAAACACACACACACACACACACACACACACACGAAAGGCUUCCCUAAUAUGGUUGAGGGCAGAAUGUGUUGAUGGGAAAGAGAAGGGAAGGACACACACACACACACACACACACACACACGAAAGGCUUCCCUAAUAUGGUUGAGGGCAGAAUGUGUUGAUGGGAAAGAGAAGGGAAGGAAAGGAAGAGGAAGAGGAGGAGGAGGAAAGAAUAGGAGGAGGAAGAAGGAACUGUUGAUAAAGGAAGAUGGAUAGAUGGAAUGAUUGAAGAAAUAGGAAGGAGAAAAAGUAAUAGUUGAUUGAUGGAGAUAGAUGGAUAGAUAGAUAAAUAGUAGAUAGUAUUGACAAGAAGAGGGGAGGAGGAAGACAUGGAGGAGGAGGAAGAAAAGAAUAAGAAGGAGGAAGAGGAAGAGAAGAGAAGAGAAACUUGUAAAAUGUGUUAUUAUUAUUAUUAUUAUUAUUACUAUUACUACUAUUAUUAUUAUUAUGGAAUAUAUGAAAAAUGGGAGGAAUAGUGCAAGAGAGAGAGAGAGAGAGAGAGAGAGAGAGAGAGAGAGAGAGAGAGAGAGAGAGAGAGAGAGUUAUGUAUACGACUUUAAUAAUCUUAAGCAAGUGAAUUCCUCCUUGUACCUCAUGUCCUCCUCCUCCUCCUCCUCUUUUCUGUAUUGUAUGUCUUAAUGAGGCAGAACUUACUUCACGCUUCUUAAACUUGAGGAGGAGAGAAGGAGGAGGA
Eriocheir sinensis (Chinese mitten crab) is the source of this 2387-nucleotide long non-coding RNA. RefSeq lists it as uncharacterized. The transcript is spliced from 2 exons. The record is from RefSeq and is a predicted model, not a curated record. NCBI's taxonomy places the organism in Eukaryota, Metazoa, Arthropoda, Malacostraca, Decapoda, Varunidae.